UCAACUCCAGGAUUUAUUUCACA
Molecule: non-coding RNA, 23 nt
Filed under: Arabidopsis thaliana (thale cress)
Lineage: Eukaryota; Viridiplantae; Streptophyta; Magnoliopsida; Brassicales; Brassicaceae
Source: RNAcentral